GGCCUAACACAUGCAAGUCGAGCGCUACCUUCGGGUGGAGCGGCGGACGGGUUAGUAACGCGUGGGAAUAUACCCUUCACUAUGGAAUAGCCUCGGGAAACUGAGAGUAAUACCAUAUACGCCCUUCGGGGGAAAGAUUUAUCGGUGAAGGAUUAGCCCGCGUAAGAUUAGAUAGUUGGUGGGGUAAUGGCCUACCAAGUCUACGAUCUUUAGCUGGUUUUAGAGGAUGAUCAGCAACACUGGGACUGAGACACGGCCCAGACUCCUACGGGAGGCAGCAGUGGGGAAUCUUAGACAAUGGGCGAAAGCCUGAUCUAGCCAUGCCGCGUGAGUGAUGAAGGUCUUAGGAUCGUAAAGCUCUUUCGCUAGGGAUGAUAAUGACAGUACCUAGUAAAGAAGCCCCGGCUACUCCGUGCCAGCAGCCGCGGUGAUACGGAGGGGGCUAGCGUUGUUCGGAAUUACUGGGCGUAAAGCGUACGUAGGCGGAUCAGAAAGUAUGGGGUGAAAUCCCAGGGCUUAACCCUGGAACUGCCUCAUAAACUCCUGGUCUUGAGUUCAGGAGAGGUGAGUGGAAUUCC
Molecule: ribosomal RNA, 578 nt
Filed under: uncultured Alphaproteobacteria bacterium
Lineage: Bacteria; Pseudomonadati; Pseudomonadota; Alphaproteobacteria
Description: bacterial SSU rRNA
Rfam family: Bacterial small subunit ribosomal RNA
Source: RNAcentral